AUCCGGUAGUGAAAUCAAGUACUUUUGGCCUCUGUCAACAUCAAGAUUAGCUGAUCUCUAGAGACCCCACACAGCCAAGGACACUUGUUGCUAUUUUAAGAGAGAAGAGGCUCUCUUCUUCUUGCAUGCCUCUUCUCUUUUUUGUUUAUCAAUUGCUGCGUAACAGAGUGCCCUAAAAAAACUCCUUAUACAGUCUGUAGUUUGCCAAGGCUCGGCUGGAUGGCUAUGACAUUUGAUCCUUCAUGAAACUGCAGUAAGAUGGCAGCAGGAGCUAGAGUCUUCUCAAAGCCAGACUAGGCUGGACAUCCAAGAUGGCUUCUUCCCUCAAGUGACUGGUGCCUGAGCUGGGAUGGCUGGAGCAGCUGGAGACUGGGCAGACAUCUCCCUUGCCACAUGGCUAGGUUGGGCUUCACAGCAUUGGCUUGCAGGAGGCAGGGUGUGUGAAAGAGGCAGUGGGAGUGAUCCACUCAUGGGAAGGGAUAUGUUAUCGCUGAGCCUUGUUUAGAAUUGCUUGUGCAUGCUGAUAAGAAAAGGAAGACCAACUUUUAGUUGGUUUUAGUAAACUUUUUAAAUUCUUUAUAGACAAUGCAUCCCUUUAAUCUCUGUACUUUUAAGUGGACCAUUCCCACUGCCCCCAGCCUUGGUACACCACUUCCUCACAGCAUGGCUGUUUCCAGAGAGUUGGACUUUUUGCCUCAUGACUAGCCUCCCCCAGAGCCUUCCAGGAAGAAAGGCAAAAUCUGUGAGCCUUCUUAUGACCUAGCCUCAGAAGCCACAGAGCAUUGCAUCCCCUGCACUCUGUGGGGGCAAAAGCAAGUUGGAGGACCAUCCUGGAUUCAUGGGGAGAAGACCAAACAAGUGUGAGUGCUGGAAAGGAGACUUCCCUGUGGGCCAGCUUUGGAGAUGAGUGACCACAUUCUCCAUUACCAUUUGCUCCACGUGGUUCAGAACCACAUGAUUAUUUAACCAAAGCUCGGGUUGACUACACUUCAACUAACUGGAACCUACUGUAACGGAUCCAGGAGGCCCACAGGUCUGAACAAACACAUUGUGGUCUUCCAACUGGUACCUGGUUUCUGCUCCUGGAUUUACCAAGUGACUCCUCCUGUGACUCUGGAAGCCUUGAAAAACUUGGCAUCAUUCCUUCCUCUGUAGAUUAACAAUAACUUUACCCAUCUUCUUUCCCACAACUAUGGAAAGGCUCUGAAAAAAAACAGAAAUCAUAACUUUGUACCUAAUUUGUGAUUCCUCGUGGAAGGAGGUAAAGUUCUCUGGGAAAAUUAGAGAUUGCACGGUCUUUCAAAUACUAAUAAUCAUAAUCUCAACAAUCUCUUUGCUAUAUUAAAAAACUUACAGGAAUUUAGAAUGCCUCAAACUGGAAACAAAUGUCCAUCAACAGGAAUGUAGAUUCAUACAAUGGAAUAUUCAAGCAUAAAAAGUAUGAACUACUAAUACAUAAAACAACAUGGACAAAUCUCAAAAACAUCAUGUUGAAUGAAAGAAGCCAGACUCAUAACAGUACUCAUUAUAUAAUUCCAUUCCUACGAAAGCCAAAUACAGAUCUUCAGGAAAAGUUCUCUACAUAUAACCAAUUUAUCUAUGUUAGUGGUACAUUGAGGAGGUGUCCAGAGACAAAGAGACAAGACAGCAAAUGAAUGGACAAGAUGCUGUGAGGGAGUAGGAUUCAGAAGAAUGUCCCAGAGCACAACACAGCCUGGAAUUCACAGAAAUACUGGGGAAAAGGCACAGUGGACUUCCCACUUUCCGUGGAUGGGGUCUCGACCCAUUUUAAGAGGCUAUUAAAGGAAAAAUUGACUGCAGGAGGCAGGUCAACUUGGAAACAUGGGAUAUAUUUUUUUAAAUUUUAGGCAUGGAGAUAUGGAAGGAUGCAUAGAGGCCUGGUAUAUAACUAAGAGCAGGGACUCUGGAGUCCGAGGGUCUGUGUUGGAAUCCCAACUUUGCCACUUAUAACCAUGUACUUUUGCGCAAGUUAUUAAAGCCUCUGAGACUCCAUUUCCUUCUCUGUAAAUAGGGAAAUAAUAAUACCUCAUAGGGUUGUCAAGAGGAGUAAAUGAAGCACAAUUGUAAAGUGGAUGGACAGGAGCUUAGUGUAUACAAAUUGCUGUACAAUAGCUUGUUAAAUAAUAUAAAUAAAUAUGCAUCAAAAUGUUAAGUGUUUUUUGAUGAAUAUAA
RNAcentral lists this long non-coding RNA (2193 nucleotides) under Homo sapiens (human). RNAcentral describes it as "HSALNT0209556". The record is from RNAcentral. Lineage: Eukaryota; Metazoa; Chordata; Mammalia; Primates; Hominidae.